AUUGAACGCUGGCGGCAUGCUUUACACAUGCAAGUCGAACGGUAACAGGCCUUCGGGUGCUGACGAGUGGCGAACGGGUGAGUAAUGCAUCGGAACGUGCCCAGAGGUGGGGGAUAACGCAGCGAAAGCUGUGCUAAUACCGCAUGUGAUCUGAGGAUGAAAGCGGGGGACCAGGCAGCAAUGUUUGGCCUCGCGCCUUUGGAGCGGCCGAUGUCAGAUUAGGUAGUUGGUGGGGUAAGGGCCUACCAAGCCGACGAUCUGUAGCUGGUCUGAGAGGACGACCAGCCACACUGGGACUGAGACACGGCCCAGACUCCUACGGGAGGCAGCAGUGGGGAAUUUUGGACAAUGGGCGCAAGCCUGAUCCAGCAAUGCCGCGUGCGGGAAGAAGGCCUUCGGGUUGUAAAACGCUUUUGUACGGAACGAAAAGGCUCUGGCUAAUACCUGGGGCUGAUGACGGUACCGUAAGAAUAAGCACCGGCUAACUACGUG
Molecule: ribosomal RNA, 492 nt
Filed under: uncultured bacterium
Lineage: Bacteria
Description: partial 16S ribosomal RNA
Rfam family: Bacterial small subunit ribosomal RNA
Source: RNAcentral